This 441-nucleotide ribosomal RNA is filed under the name Triticum aestivum (bread wheat). Its description in RNAcentral is "partial small subunit ribosomal RNA". The record is from RNAcentral. Lineage: Eukaryota; Viridiplantae; Streptophyta; Magnoliopsida; Poales; Poaceae.
AUGCGUCUUACUGGGGGUGAGUUGAUCAGCUUCUCCUUCAGAGCAGAAGGACCCAAGCUGGCUAUCAUUUAUCUCAACCUAGUGGAAGAUGAUGAAGAUGAUCAAGAUAAUGAGGACCCACUCGAUGAAGAUGAUGAGGAUCCACUUCAUGAAGCCAUCGUAGCUCAAAGAACAAGGCUGAGCGAGGAGGAGGUGUCCAACCUGUGGGACAUAAUUCCGCCACGUGCUGACUUUGUCGGGGUGCCAUUCGUGACCCGCCUGACAAAUACCAUGGUUGAUCGACAUGAUAUGAAAUUGGCAAAGAGCAUAUCUGUGAGUUAUGGUAUCGAGCCUGAUGAAGAAGGCUCAGCUGGACUACGCAUUACUGCAAGGGGCUUCGUCACAACCUGUACUUACCGCGUGGACACGGAUGGUCGCACACACUUAAACUCGGUUGGGUGA